This 353-nucleotide ribosomal RNA is filed under the name uncultured bacterium. RNAcentral describes it as "partial 16S ribosomal RNA". It matches the Rfam family "Bacterial small subunit ribosomal RNA", at positions 338 to 708 of the family's 1533-position model. The record is from RNAcentral.
CCUACGGGUGGCAGCAGUAGGGAAUAUUGCUCAAUGGGCGAAACCCUGAAGCAGCAACGCCGCGUGGAGGAUGAAGGUUUUCGGAUUGUAAACUCCUUUUGUUAGAGAAGAUCAUGACGUUAUCUAACGAAUAAGCACUGGCUAACUCCGUGCCAGCAACCGCGGUAAUACGGAGGGUGCAAGCGUUACUCGGAAUCACUGGGCGUAAAGAGCGUGUAGGCGGGAUAGCAAGUCAGAUGUGAAAUCCUAUGGCUUAACCAUAGAACUGCAUUUGAAACUGGUAUUCUAGAGUAUGGGAGAGGUAGGUGGAAUUCUAGGUGUAGGGGUAAAAUCCGUAGAGAUCAAGAGGAAGA